GACGAACGCUGGCGGCGUGUUUAACACAUGCAAGUCGAACGGAAAGGCCCUGCUUUUGUGGGGUGCUCGAGUGGCGAACGGGUGAGUAACACGUGAGUAACCUGCCCUUGACUUUGGGAUAACUUCAGGAAACUGGGGCUAAUACCGGAUAGGAGCUCCUGCUGCAUGGUGGGGGUUGGAAGGUUUCGGCGGUUGGGGAUGGACUCGCGGCUUAUCAGCUUGUUGGUGGGGUAGUGGCUUACCAAGGCUUUGACGGGUAGCCGGCCUGAGAGGGUGACCGGCCACAUUGGGACUGAGAUACGGCCCAGACUCCUACGGGAGGCAGCAGUGGGGAAUAUUGCACAAUGGGCGGAAGCCUGAUGCAGCAACGCCGCGUGCGGGAUGACGGCCUUCGGGUUGUAAACCGCUUUCGCCUGUGACGAAGCGUGAGUGACGGUAAUGGGUAAAGAAGCACCGGCUAACUACGUG
This 468-nucleotide ribosomal RNA is filed under the name uncultured bacterium. Its description in RNAcentral is "partial 16S ribosomal RNA". It matches the Rfam family "Bacterial small subunit ribosomal RNA", at positions 28 to 507 of the family's 1533-position model. The record is from RNAcentral.